CAGUCGCCGCGGUAAUACGGAGGGUGCAAGCGUUAAUCGGAAUUACUGGGCGUAAGCGUGCGUAGGCGGUUCGUUAAGUCUGUUGUGAAAGCCCCGGGCUCAACCUGGGAAUGGCAAUGGAUACUGGCGAGCUAGAGUGUGUCAGAGGAUAGUGGAAUUCCCGGUGUAGCGGUGAAAUGCGUAGAGAUCGGGAGGAACAUCAGUGGCGAAGGCGGCCAUCUGGGACAACACUGACGCUGAGGCACGAAAGCGUGGGGAGCAAACAGGAUUAGAUACCCCUGUAGUCCCUGUCUCUUAUACA
Molecule: ribosomal RNA, 301 nt
Filed under: uncultured bacterium
Lineage: Bacteria
Description: partial 16S ribosomal RNA
Rfam family: Bacterial small subunit ribosomal RNA
Source: RNAcentral